This 253-nucleotide ribosomal RNA is filed under the name uncultured bacterium. Its description in RNAcentral is "partial 16S ribosomal RNA". It matches the Rfam family "Bacterial small subunit ribosomal RNA", at positions 524 to 776 of the family's 1533-position model. The record is from RNAcentral.
UCCGGGGGGGGCAAGCGUUGUUCGGAAUUACUGGGCGUAAAGGGCUCGUAGGUGGCCAACUAAGUCAGACGUGAAAUCCCUCGGCUUAACCGGGGAACUGCGUCUGAUACUGGAUGGCUUGAGUGUGGGAGAGGGAUGCGGAAUUCCAGGUGUAGCGGUGAAAUGCGUAGAUAUCUGGAGGAACACCGGUGGCGAAGGCGGCAUCCUGGACCAUUACUGACACUGAAUAGCGAAAGCCAGGGGAGCAAACGGG